UGCCAGCAGCCGCGGUAAUACGUAGGGUCCAAGCGUUAAUCGGAAUUACUGGGCGUAAAGCGUGCGCAGGCGGUCUCGCAAGUCCGAUGUGAAAUCCUCGGGCUUAACCUGGGAACUGCGUUGGAAACUAUGAGGCUCGAGUGCGGCAGAGGGGGGUGGAAUUCCAGGUGUAGCAGUGAAAUGCGUAGAGAUCUGGAGGAACACCGAUGGCGAAGGCAGCCCCCUGGGCUAGCACUGACGCUCAUGCACAAAAGCGUGGGGAGCAAACAGGAUUAGAUACCCUGGUAGUCCACGCCCUAAACGAUGGCAACUAGUUGUUGGAGGAUGAACUCCUUUAGUAACGCAGCUAACGCGUGAAGUUGCCCGCCUGGGGAGUACGGUCGCAAGAUAAACUCAAGAUAGG
RNAcentral lists this ribosomal RNA (403 nucleotides) under uncultured bacterium. Its description in RNAcentral is "bacterial SSU rRNA". It matches the Rfam family "Bacterial small subunit ribosomal RNA", at positions 506 to 910 of the family's 1533-position model. The record is from RNAcentral.